This 84-nucleotide transfer RNA is filed under the name Lachnospiraceae bacterium. Its description in RNAcentral is "tRNA-Leu". It matches the Rfam family "tRNA". From Rfam's summary of the family: Transfer RNA (tRNA) molecules are approximately 80 nucleotides in length. RNAcentral also lists the same sequence under 5 other names. Lineage: Bacteria; Bacillati; Bacillota; Clostridia; Lachnospirales; Lachnospiraceae. The record is from RNAcentral.
GCGGGUAUGGUGGAAUAGGCAGACACAAGAGACUUAAAAUCUCUCGGGAGCAAUCCCGUGCCGGUUCAAGUCCGGCUACCCGCA